RNAcentral lists this transfer RNA (72 nucleotides) under Bos taurus (domestic cattle). It matches the Rfam family "tRNA". Rfam says of the family: Transfer RNA (tRNA) molecules are approximately 80 nucleotides in length. Lineage: Eukaryota; Metazoa; Chordata; Mammalia; Artiodactyla; Bovidae. The record is from Rfam by way of RNAcentral. RNAcentral also lists the same sequence under 4 other names.
UCUCUGGUGGCUCAGACGGUAAAGCGUCUGCCUGCAAUGCCGGAGACCUGGGUUCGAUUCCUGGGUUGGGAA